Long non-coding RNA from Arachis duranensis, 190 nucleotides. RefSeq lists it as uncharacterized. The transcript has 3 exons. Lineage: Eukaryota; Viridiplantae; Streptophyta; Magnoliopsida; Fabales; Fabaceae. The record is from RefSeq and is a predicted model, not a curated record.
UGGGAUAAAUCCUAAGGGAGUUCGCACCCUGGGAUGAUUCCGUCGCCGUGAAUGACAUUAUUGCUGGUCUAAAAGGAUUUACAGAUGAUGAUGUGAAGCCAUUUUCUUCUGGUUUGAAUUCAGCUGAGACUCAGGCCAUGUAAUUGCAGUGCCAGUGAGGGAGAACCAUCAAGCAGUGCUGCACAGGCAA